Molecule: ribosomal RNA, 521 nt
Filed under: uncultured bacterium
Lineage: Bacteria
Description: bacterial SSU rRNA
Rfam family: Bacterial small subunit ribosomal RNA
Source: RNAcentral
GAGAGUUUGAUCCUGGCUCAGAACGAACGCUGGCGGCAGGCCUAACACAUGCAAGUCGAGCGCACCUUCGGGUGAGCGGCGGACGGGUUAGUAACGCGUGGGAACGUGCCCAGAUCUGCGGAAUAGCCACUGGAAACGGUGAGUAAUACCGCAUACGCCCUUCGGGGGAAAGAUUUAUCGGAUUUGGAUCGGCCCGCGUUAGAUUAGAUAGUUGGUGGGGUAACGGCCUACCAAGUCUACGAUCUAUAGCUGGUUUUAGAGGAUGAUCAGCCACACUGGAACUGAGACACGGUCCAGACUCCUACGGGAGGCAGCAGUGGGGAAUAUUGCACAAUGGGGGAAACCCUGAUGCAGCCAUGCCGCGUGUGUGAAGAAGGCCUUCGGGUUGUAAAGCACUUUCAGUAGGGAGGAAGGUUUAGUAGUUAAUACCUGCUAGAUUUGACGUUACCUACAGAAGAAGCACCGGCUAACUCCGUGCCAGCAGCCGCGGUAAUACGGAGGGUGCGAGCGUUAAUCGGAAU